This 220-nucleotide long non-coding RNA is filed under the name Mytilus galloprovincialis (Mediterranean mussel). Lineage: Eukaryota; Metazoa; Mollusca; Bivalvia; Mytilida; Mytilidae. The record is from RNAcentral.
GAUAGGGAAAAUCGAGGUGUUGACAUAUUUUUAUCGGAAUAUCAAAAAACGUUCUAUGACACUUGGUCCAAAACUGUAAUAUAAAAAGCUGAAAUAUAGCUUCAAAGAAUGAGCAAAUAAAAAACAUAGGUCACCGAUAAGCAAAAAAUUUAUUUUGCCUUAAAACCCAAAUUUUGGCGGGAAAAUGGUGAAAAUGGGUGAAAUGUCAUUUUGACCCUUU